This 254-nucleotide ribosomal RNA is filed under the name uncultured bacterium. RNAcentral describes it as "partial 16S ribosomal RNA". It matches the Rfam family "Bacterial small subunit ribosomal RNA", at positions 524 to 776 of the family's 1533-position model. The record is from RNAcentral.
UACGUAGGGACCGAGCGUUGUCCGGAUUCAUUGGGCGUAAAGAGCUCGUAGGCGGUUUGGUAAGUCGGAUGUGAAAUCUCCAGGCUCAACCUGGAGGGGUCAUUCGAUACUGCCAUGACUAGAGGUCGGUAGGGGAGUGUGGAAUUCCUGGUGGAGCGGUGAAAUGCGCAGAUAUCAGGAGGAACACCCGUAGCGAAGGCGGCACUCUGGGCCGAUUCUGACACUGAGGAGCGAAAGCGUGGGGAGCGAACAGG